UACGAGGGCCUCAAGCGUUAUCCGGAAUCAUUGGGCGUAAAGGAUGUGUAGGUGGUUGUGUUAGUCUCUUGUUAAAUUCUUCGGCUUAACCGGGGGCAUGCAAGGGAAACGGCACAACUAGAGGAUGCGAGGGGUCUGCGGAACUCAUAGUGUAGCGGUGAAAUGCGUUGAUAUUAUGGGGAACACCAAAAGCGAAGGCAGCAGACUGGAGCACUCCUGACACUGAAACAUGAAAGCGUGGGUCGCGAAUGGG
Molecule: ribosomal RNA, 253 nt
Filed under: uncultured bacterium
Lineage: Bacteria
Description: partial 16S ribosomal RNA
Rfam family: Bacterial small subunit ribosomal RNA
Source: RNAcentral